AAAUUGAAGAGUUUGAUCAUGGCUCAGAUUGAACGCUGGCGGCAGGCCUAACACAUGCAAGUCGAACGGUAACAGGAAGAAGCUUGCUUCUUUGCUGACGAGUGGCGGACGGGUGAGUAAUGUCUGGGAAACUGCCUGAUGGAGGGGGAUAACUACUGGAAACGGUAGCUAAUACCGCAUAACGUCGCAAGACCAAAGAGGGGGACCUUCGGGCCUCUCGCCAUCGGAUGUGCCCAGAUGGGAUUAGCUAGUAGGUGGGGUAACGGCUCACCUAGGCGACG
Molecule: ribosomal RNA, 281 nt
Filed under: Escherichia coli
Lineage: Bacteria; Pseudomonadati; Pseudomonadota; Gammaproteobacteria; Enterobacterales; Enterobacteriaceae
Description: partial 16S ribosomal RNA
Rfam family: Bacterial small subunit ribosomal RNA
Source: RNAcentral